This 450-nucleotide ribosomal RNA is filed under the name uncultured bacterium. Its description in RNAcentral is "SSU rRNA". It matches the Rfam family "Bacterial small subunit ribosomal RNA", at positions 26 to 518 of the family's 1533-position model. The record is from RNAcentral.
AGGAUGAACGCUGGCGGUGUGCCUAACACAUGCAAGUCGAACGAGCCUUCGGGCUAGUGGCGGACGGGUGAGUAACACGUUAGUACCUGCCCUUUAGUGGGGAAUAACUCGGCGAAAGUCGAGCUAAUACCGCAUAUGGCCUCUUUAGAGGUUAAAGACUUCGGUCGCUAAAGGAGGGGCUUGCGUCUGAUUAGCUAGUUGGUAGGGUAAAAGCCUACCAAGGCGACGAUCAGUAGCUGGUUCGAGAGGAUGACCAGCCACACGGGGACUGAGAUACGGCCCCGACUCCUACGGGAGGCAGCAGUGAGGAAUCUUCCGCAAUGGGCGAAAGCCUGACGGAGCAACACCGCGUGCAGGAUGACGGCUUUCGGGUUGUAAACUGCUUUUAUUUGGGAAGAUUAUGACGGUACCAAAUGAAUAAGGACCGGCUAACUACGCGCCAGCAGCCGC